CCUACGGGUGGCAGCAGUGAGGAAUAUUUGUCAAUGGACGAGAGUCUGAACCAGCCAAGUAGCGUGAAGUAUGACUGCCCUAUGGGUUGUAAACUUCUUUUAUAAAUGAAUAAAACGAGGCACGUGUGCCUUUUUGCAUGUCAGUUAUGAAUAAGGAUCGGCUAACUCCGUGCCAGCAGCCGCGGUAAUACGGAGGAUCCGAGCGUUAUCCGGAUUGAUUGGGUUUAAAGGGAACGUAGAUGGGUUUUUAAGUCAGUUGUGAAAGUUUGCGGCUCAACCGUCAAAUUGCAAUUGAUACUGGCAGACUUGAGUACAGUUGAGGUAGGCGGAAUUCGUGGUGUAGCUGUGAAAUGCUUAGAUAUCACGAAGAACCCCGAUUGCGAAGGCAGCUUACUAAACUGUGACUGACAUUGAUGCACGAAAGUGUGGGUAUCAAACAGGAUUAGAUACCCCAGGAGUC
Molecule: ribosomal RNA, 460 nt
Filed under: uncultured bacterium
Lineage: Bacteria
Description: partial 16S ribosomal RNA
Rfam family: Bacterial small subunit ribosomal RNA
Source: RNAcentral